This 200-nucleotide unclassified non-coding RNA is filed under the name soil metagenome. Its description in RNAcentral is "partial contains internal transcribed spacer 2 and large subunit ribosomal RNA". The record is from RNAcentral.
UUGCUGGCUUCCUUCAGUGGAUGGUCUGCUCCCUUUAAAUGCAUUAGUGGGAUCUCUUGUGGACCGUCACUUGGUGUGAUAAUUAUCUAUGCCAUCUUGACUUUGAAGCAAACUAAUGGGAACCUGCUCAUAACCGUCCUUUCAGGGACAACUCUUGACAUUUUGACCUCAAAUCAGGUAGGACUACCCGCUGAACUUAA